UAUUGCCGAGAAGCCCCUCCCCAGUGAGUAUCACCAGGAAAUGCCCGUCUCAUCCAGUGCUGAAUGCAGAGGGUUUGUUAUUGUACAUUUCUGAUCAUCUGAUAGGAGUUAUCUUCUUUGAUUUAUCAUAUUCGUGUCUCUUGUCAUGUCUUCAGAAGAAUUUGAGAAACUGCAUGAACAGUAUAGGGCAGUAUACGAAGAACUUAGCCAUGCGUCUGGACAGGCUGGGAGAUGUUUUGGAGAAGAAAGAAAGCGUCUCAUACGGAACUUCAAUGAACAGUUUGAAGAAGCAAAUGAAAUGCUGGAAGGGAUGGAGGAAGAACUGAGACAGGCACCUCACUCAUUUCGUAACCAGAUGGUAACCAAGAUUAGAGGCUACAGGAGGGACCUUGGCAAGCUUCAACGGGACAUAAAAAGCACUGAUUUAGGUCUGGGGCCCAGGAACCAAGCAGAAUACAAACACACACCCUACAAUGAAAAAGAUGAAGAACAGGCUCAGCUGAAGUCCCAAAGAGGGCUGCUGCUGCAGGGUACAGAAAGCCUUAAUCGUGCCAGUCAGAGCAUUGAGCGAUCACAGAAGGUUGCUAUCGAAACAGACCAUAUUGGUGCAGAGAUUAUUGGAGACCUUGAGCAACAGAGGGAUCAACUCGUACGGACAAAGGACCGGCUGGUGCACACUGGGGAAGACCUUAGCAGAAGUCGAAAGAUCCUACGCUCCAUGUCUCGAAAGUCGUGAAGUGGUGAAAAGACAGCUGCUAGUAAAAUUUUGAAGUGUUUGUAACAGAAGGGAUUUGUGGGAUUGUGACAAAUAAGUUAUUGCUGUCCUUCAUCAUUAUUGUGGAGCUCGGCAUCUUGGGAGGUGUUGUAUACCUGAAGUUCUUCCGUAAAUAGUGGCAGUGAUC
Molecule: RNA transcript, 902 nt
Organism: Protopterus annectens (West African lungfish)
Lineage: Eukaryota; Metazoa; Chordata; Ceratodontiformes; Protopteridae
Gene: VTI1B
Gene name: vesicle transport through interaction with t-SNAREs 1B
Exons: 7
Source: RefSeq, a predicted model, not a curated record